RNAcentral lists this ribosomal RNA (416 nucleotides) under uncultured bacterium. Its description in RNAcentral is "bacterial SSU rRNA". It matches the Rfam family "Bacterial small subunit ribosomal RNA", at positions 37 to 488 of the family's 1533-position model. The record is from RNAcentral.
UGGCGGCGCGCUUAACACAUGCAAGUCGAACGAGAAAGCCCGCAAGGGUGAGUAAAGUGGCGUACGGGUGAGUAACACGUGGGUGAUCUACCUCUUGGUGGGGAAUAACCCUGGGAAACCGGGGCUAAUACCGCAUAAGACCGAAAGGUGAAAGGAGCAAUUCGCCGAGAGAGGAGCCCGCGGCUGAUUAGCUAGUUGGUAGGGUAAAGGCCUACCAAGGCGAAGAUCGGUAGCCGGCCUGAGAGGGCACACGGCCACACUGGCACUGAUACACGGGCCAGACUCCUACGGGAGGCAGCAGUGGGGAAUCUUGCACAAUGGGGGAAACCCUGAUGCAGCGACGCCGCGUGAGCGAUGAAGCCCUUCGGGGUGUAAAGCUCUUUCGGCAGGAACGAUAAUGACGGNCCUGCAACAAA